GAUGAACGCUGGCGGCGUGCCUAAUGCAUGCAAGUCGAGCGAAUGGAUUAAGAGCUUGCUCUUAUGAAGUUAGCGGCGGACGGGUGAGUAACACGUGGGUAACCUGCCCAUAAGACUGGGAUAACUCCGGGAAACCGGGGCUAAUACCGGAUAACAUUUUGAACCGCAUGGUUCGAAAUUGAAAGGCGGCUUCGGCUGUCACUUAUGGAUGGACCCGCGUCGCAUUAGCUAGUUGGUGAGGUAACGGCUCACCAAGGCAACGAUGCGUAGCCGAGCUGAGAGGGUGAUCGGCCACACUGGGACUGAGACACGGCCCAGACUCCUACGGGAGGCAGCAGUAGGGAAUCUUCCGCAAUGGACGAAAGUCUGACGGAGCAACGCCGCGUGAGUGACGAAGGCUUUCGGGUCGUAAAACUCUGUUGUUAGGGAAGAACAAGUGCUAGUUGAAUAAGCUGGCACCUUGACGGUACCUAACCAGAAAGCCACGGCUAACUACGUGCCAGCCGCCGCGGUAA
Molecule: ribosomal RNA, 515 nt
Filed under: uncultured bacterium
Lineage: Bacteria
Description: partial 16S ribosomal RNA
Rfam family: Bacterial small subunit ribosomal RNA
Source: RNAcentral